This 2200-nucleotide long non-coding RNA is filed under the name Salmo salar (Atlantic salmon). RNAcentral's name for it is "lncRNA (ENSSSAG00000095610.1)". Lineage: Eukaryota; Metazoa; Chordata; Actinopteri; Salmoniformes; Salmonidae. The record is from RNAcentral.
GUGAGACUGAUUUUCUUUUGAACAUCAUAGAAAAUCCUGUUCUGGGACAGGUUGUGCACAUUAGGUGGUAAAACAGUUGGUUAUGAUUGGGAAACCAGCUAUAAAUUUAAACCCUACACGGAAAUGUGCAUACAGUAGGAGGAACUACCAUGUGGGUGCAACAUUUAAAAUGACAUAGAUAAUAAAAAAAAUAGUUUGAUGGAGAAGAAAUUACUCUUUUCAAAUGAUAGGAAAGGAAGACGUUCCUAACCAAAUACUGUUUGUUUUGUGUGUUUUUUGUUUCCUGAGUGUGUGUAUUGACAAAAGAUUUAUAUUAUGGACGAACGAUGGACCCUGUCAGCCUGACUGGUUGCACUGUGUGAUCGAAUAAAGGAACACAUUCUCCAGUAGUAAAUCGGCAGACGUCCCAGUAUUGUUUUUAAUACAAGAAAGAUGCUUGUUUCUGUCGGCUCGAUGCGUGAAGAAGCCAGGUGGCUGUACUGACUCCGAUAGCUUGUCUCGAGUGAGCCAUGUUUCCGUGAAACAAAGAACGUUACAAUCUCUGAUGUCUCUCUGGAAGGCAACUCUUGCUCGGAUUUCGUCUACCUUGUUGUCAAGAGACUGGACAUUGGCGAGUAGUAUACUCGGGAGCGGUGCGCGAUGUGCCCGUCUAUGGAGCCUGACCAGAAGACGGUUCCGUCUGCCGUCGUUGUUUUGGGUCGCCGGCUGUGAUCCGAUCCAUUGUCCUGGGUGGUAGGCCUAACAGAGGAUCCGCUUCGGGAAAAUCGUAUUCCUGGUCGUAAUGUUGGAACGCGAAGCGAGGCGGCCAUCUCUGUCGGCGCCGGAAGUACCCCACUCUUCCACCAAAGCACCUGCAAGUUCCCAGACAUUUCUGAGGGGACUGGCCCUAGCCCUCACCCUCCGAUCCAACAAGUCCCAGACAUGCUCAAUGGGAUUGAAAUCCGGGCUCUUCGCUGGCAAUGGUAGAACACUGAUAUUCACAGGAUGAGCAGUAUGGCUGGUGGCAUUGUCAUGCUGUAGGGUCAUGUCAGGAUGAGCCUGCAGGAAGGGUACCACAUGAGGGAGGAGGAUGUCUUCCCUGUAACGCACAGCAUUGAGAUUGCUUGCAAUGACAACAUGCUCAGUCCGAUGAUGCUAAUCAACAAAUGUAAAAAUGUAAGCAUGAACAGAUAGACUGUCGCAUGGAUACUACAUCACCAGUAUCAGCCAAAGAGCUGAUUCCAAUGGACUUUCUUCAGCUAGCUAACGUUAGCUAACUUACCCUGCUUUUAUAGCUAAGAUAUUGAAAAGCUGUUGCGUACUGUUUUGUUUGAACAAUGGUAGGAGUAAAGACCACCAAAUAAAGUUUUAUCAACUGCCCAAGGACCAGGUUAGAUGAACCUCAUGGUUUCAGGCUAUACGCCGCGAUGAUGAUGGGAAUCUGUGAGCUCCGGUUACUCAAUACAUUUGUGUGUUCGAAGCAAUUAAUUCACGGUAAGUCGCUAGCUAACACUUGUUUGUAUCUACUGUAACUAGCUAUGUGUAUUGCCUGUGUAAACCUGGGCCAUUUGGUAGGAUUGUCUGCACAGCUGGUCCCUGCCAAGUUGAAAGGACAUAUAGGCAAGCCAACAAGAAUCAACUUUUUAAAUACUAGACCGUUCAAGGGUAGGCAAAGACUUGAAGUAGUUAAGUGGCAUAUCUAAGACUAGCGAAUUAGAUUGAGAUUAACUUCUCUUGCUAGAAAGCCAGCUAACGAAAGUUAACCUGCGAAAAAGCUAGGGGUAAACAAACAGUGACGUCAGUAUAAUGCAACAGUUUUACUAGCUUUACUGUAGAUGAAAGCAUGUCGGGUAACAAAUUAGCGGGGUAGAAUAAGUAUUAUGCAAAUCAUUUGUUGUUGUGACAGUCAAGUACUGUAUGUUAAUAACGACACGUGACGCUGAUGAAAACAUUUAUUGAAAUGGCAAAAAGGUGUCAGGAGUUUGCUUAGGAUGACGUCAAAGUUAGGCUAAUUACAUAGGAGUACCCUAGAUCUGUACCCCACUCGGGGGCGUGGUCACAUCAAGCCACACAUCGCCAUGUGUAUCUAUUGCUAGCAUGUCCAGGCAACCUCUUCUGCCUCACAUUACCGAAACCCCGCCCACAGUGUUUGAUUGACAUGUCUAACACAUUGAAAAUACAAAGGAGGAAUGAGGAAACGAAAUAGCAAAAUAAAGCAUUG